GAUGAAGAACGUAGCGAAAUGCGAUACUUGGUGUGAAUUGCAGAAUCCCGUGAACCAUCGAGUGUUUGAACGCAAGUUGCGCCUCAAGCCAUUAGGUUGAGGGCACGUCUGCCUGGGCGUCACAUAUCGUUGCCUGAUGCCAGUUUCCUCGUGAUGGGUGACUGUGCAGGGCGAAUGAUGGCUUCCCGUGAGCAUUGUUGCCUCAUGGUUGGUUGAAAAUUGAGUCCUUGGUAGGGAGCGCCGUGAUAGAUGGUGGUUGAGUGACGAACGAGACCCAAUCAUGUGAGACCCCUACCGAAUUUGGCCUUCAUGACCCACAUGCGUCUUUGGAACGCUCAUGACGAGACCUCAGGUCAGGCGGGGCUACCCGCUGAGUUUAAGCAUAUCAAUAAGCGGAGGA
Molecule: unclassified non-coding RNA, 400 nt
Filed under: soil metagenome
Description: partial contains 5.8S ribosomal RNA, internal transcribed spacer 2, and large subunit ribosomal RNA
Rfam family: 5.8S ribosomal RNA (bases 1-122)
Source: RNAcentral